Molecule: ribosomal RNA, 382 nt
Filed under: uncultured eukaryote
Lineage: Eukaryota
Description: partial 18S ribosomal RNA
Rfam family: Eukaryotic small subunit ribosomal RNA
Source: RNAcentral
UGUAAGCGUAUACCAAAGUUGUUGCAGUUAAAACGCUCGUAGUCGGAAUUUGGCAAUUCCGGAUGUGUGCACGUCGUGUGCGCACUUCGCGGGGAUUGCUUUUGUGGUCUUGCGUAGGAUGAGGCACUUUUAUUAGUGAACGUCCUCACGCAACCACUUUUUACUGUGAGAAAAUCAGAGUGCUCAAAGCAGGCAUUUGCCGUGAAUGUAUUAGCAUGGAAUAAUAGAAUAGGACUUGGUUCUAUUUUGUUGGUUUGUUGGGACUGAGUAAUGAUUAAGAGGGACAGUUGGGGGCAUUUGUAUUUCGGUGCUAGAGGUGAAAUUCUUAGAUUACCGAAAGACAAACUGCUGCGAAAGCGUCUGCCAAGGAUGUUUUCAUUGA